UGGGCGUAAAGGGCUCGCAGGCGGUUUCUUAAGUCUGAUGUGAAAGCCCCCGGCUCAACCGGGGAGGGUCAUUGGAAACUGGGAAACUUGAGUGCAGAAGAGGAGAGUGGAAUUCCACGUGUAGCGGUGAAAUGCGUAGAGAUGUGGAGGAACACCAGUGGCGAAGGCGACUCUCUGGUCUGUAACUGACGCUGAGGAGCGAAAGCGUGGGGAGCGAACAGGAUUAGAUACCCUGGUAGUCCACGCCGUAAACGAUGAGUGCUAAGUGUUAGGGGGUUUCCGCCCCUUAGUGCUGCAGCUAACGCAUUAAGCACUCCGCCUGGGGAGUACGGUCGCAAGACUGAAACUCAAAGGAAUUGACGGGGGCCCGCACAAGCGGUGGAGCAUGUGGUUUAAUUCAAAGCAACGCGAAGAACCUUACCAGGUCUUGACAUCCUCUGACAACCCUAGAGAUAGGGCUUUCCCUUCGGGGACAGAGUGACAGGUGGUGCAUGGUUGUCGUCAGCUCGUGUCGUGAGAUGUU
Molecule: ribosomal RNA, 523 nt
Filed under: Bacillus pumilus
Lineage: Bacteria; Bacillati; Bacillota; Bacilli; Caryophanales; Bacillaceae
Description: bacterial SSU rRNA
Rfam family: Bacterial small subunit ribosomal RNA
Source: RNAcentral